UACGUAGGUGGCAAGCGUUGUCCGGAUUUAUUGGGUUUAAAGGGUGCGUAGGCGGCCCUGUAAGUCAGUGCUGAAAUAUCCCAGCUUAACUGGGAGGGUGGCAUUGAUACUGCGGGGCUAGAGUACAGAUGAGGUAGGCGGAAUUGACGGUGUAGCGGUGAAAUGCUUAGAUAUCGUCAAGAACACCUGUAGCGAAGGCAGCUUACUAGGCUGUAACUGACGCUGAGGCACGAAAGUGUGGGGAUCAAACAGG
RNAcentral lists this ribosomal RNA (253 nucleotides) under uncultured bacterium. RNAcentral's name for it is "partial 16S ribosomal RNA". It matches the Rfam family "Bacterial small subunit ribosomal RNA", at positions 524 to 776 of the family's 1533-position model. The record is from RNAcentral.